This 377-nucleotide ribosomal RNA is filed under the name uncultured bacterium. Its description in RNAcentral is "partial 16S ribosomal RNA". It matches the Rfam family "Bacterial small subunit ribosomal RNA", at positions 338 to 732 of the family's 1533-position model. The record is from RNAcentral.
CCUACGGGAGGCAGCAGUGGGGAAUAUUGCACAAUGGGCGAAAGCCUGACGCAGCGACGCCGCGUGAGUGAAGAAGUACUUCGGUUUGUAAAGCUCUAUCAGCAGGGAAGAAAAUUCCCGUACCUGAUCAAGAAGCCCCUGCUAACUACGUGACAGCAGCCGCGGGCAUACUGAGGGCGCGAGCGUUAUCCGGAUUUACUGGGGGUAACGGGAGCGUAGACGGCCAGACAAGUCAGGAGUGAAAGCCCAGGGCUCAACCCUGGGACUGCUUUUGAAACUGCCGAGCUGGAGUGCCUGAGAGGUAAGCGGAAUUCCUGGUGUAGGGGUGAAAUGCGUAGAUAUUAGGAGGAACACCAGUGGCGAAGGCGGCUUACUGG